Molecule: ribosomal RNA, 447 nt
Filed under: uncultured bacterium
Lineage: Bacteria
Description: partial 16S ribosomal RNA
Rfam family: Bacterial small subunit ribosomal RNA
Source: RNAcentral
AACGAACGCUAUCGGUAUGCUUAACACAUGCAAGUCGGACGGACUAAUUAGGGCUUGCUCCAAUUAGUUAGUGGCAGACGGGUGAGUAACACGUGGGAAUCUGCCCAUCAUUACGGAAUAACUUUUAGAAAUAAAAGCUAAUACCGUAUAUUCUCUACAGAGGAAAGAUUUAUCGCUGAUGGAUGAGCCCGCGUCAGAUUAGGUAGUUGGUGAGGUAACGGCUCACCAAGCCGACGAUCUGUAGCUGGUCUGAGAGGAUGAUCAGCCACACUGGGACUGAGACACGGCCCAGAAUCCUACGGGAGGCAGCAGUGGGGAAUAUUGGACAAUGGGCGAAAGCCUGAUCCAGCAAUACCGAGUGAGUGAUAAAGGCCCUAGGGUUGUAAAGCUCUUUUAGCAAGGAAGAUAAUGACGUUACUUGCAGAAAAAGCCCCGGCUAACUCCGUG